GCAGCCUAAACAUAGACCUGAAGUACUAUGGACACAUCAAGGAAUCAACAACAUGUACAGUUUUUAGAAGAGACUCACAAAUCUUCACAAUAUUACGACUAUCACUCAGAGUUAGGGUAUUUUAUUCAUAUCAGUCGAUAUCGAUUUUUUAUAUCACGAUAUAAAAAAUGAAAUUUAACAGUGUUUAUUGGUAGCACAUCUUUUGCAAUAGAAUGAGCUACAGCAUCUGUGAGGUCUUUGUGACUCUGUGGCAUUUUGUCAUAAGGCGUUGCUCUAGAGAAAGUGGACUGAAUGGUCGACUGUUUCGGCUGCACAGGCACCAUGGGCUCCUCAAAAAGAUUUGAGGUAUUCCCCAACUUUGUGAGAACAUGUACUCGACAUAAUUUACAGUCCACAUUACUCUGCUACUCUGCAAAAUACCUCCACACCACCGACGUUUUCCUAACGCCAGUGUUGUCGUUGACAUUGAUGUGGUCAUCUGGUGAUCCUUCAUGGUCAUUUCUGUCGGGGGUAGCACUCAUUUUCUUUGUUUCUCACCAACAGUGCUGUCGGCUUCACCUGUUAAAGUGCUAUGGUUGGGUGUAGCUGCUGUCUGAUGUGACGCAGUUGUAGUUUUCCUUUACUGACAGUGUAGGUAUUGUGUGUUCUGAAGCCUGGAGUUGUUGUGGUUGGCUUGUGGAGGACUGGCUUUAUAUCCUUCUAUCACAUUUCUUUACCACAGACCGUUACAUAACUCGUCCAAACGUUUCCCUCUCUCUCCAAUCUUGGAGCAGUUGUUUGUGCAGCAGCUGGACGGCUUAUGCUCCAACACUUUCCCAAUAAAAGUACACAGAUAUAGGGAACCGUGCACCUCUCAGUGUGUGAAGGCCUUUUUGUCAAGUGCUCUCUUUCUCUUUUACACAGUUUGACAGCAGACCUUACAUUUCCCCCACUUAUGUUCAUGAGCCUGGCAGCAGCAGGUAGAUACCAGGAGAGGCAUUAUCAUCUGACAUAGUUCACUGCUUUGUCGGAGGCAUCCUGAAGUCACACUGAGAGCAGUUGGCGGCAGAAAUGGUUUGUGAGGCAGGGAGGUUUCAUUUCAGCUUUGUAUGGGCACAAUCAGCAAGUCUGCAGUCAUAUAUAAUAUAGAGAGAUAUUUGGGGCGGCUGCAGGUCUGUGGGUGUCAGAGUUGGGGGUGAAGUCUCGGGUAUGAAACCUGGAAAAGCAGCUCGCAGGUUUGGAUGCAUGUGAAUGGGAAGAGUUAGCAACAGUAAACACUUUAUAUGUAAUAUGUUAUUUAGAUGAUGGGGGGCAGUGUAAGCUCUGACUUAGGGCUGGGCGAUAUGGGAAAAAGUUUAUCACUAUAUAUUGUUUUCAUAUCAGCUGAUAUCGAUCAAUAUCAGGAUAUAAAAAUGAAAUGUAGAAGUGUUUAUUGGUCUCAUUUCUUUUCCAACACAAUAAUCUCCUGCAUCUGUGAGGUCUUUGUGUCUCUUUGGCGUUUUGUCGUAAGGCGUCGCUCUAGAGAAAGCCGACUGAAUGGUCGUCUGUUUCAGGCGCCAUGGGCUCCUCGCUCCUCUCGGGGUUUGUAACCUUCUGCGUUGCGCGUGCUCUGCGGCGUGGCGCUGCUUCAGGUGGUGAAAAAGAUUUGAGGUAUUCCCCGACUUUGUGAGAACAUAUACUCGACAUAAUUUACAGUCCACAUUACUCUGCUUCAUGUCCGACCUCCAAAAACCAAAAUACCUCCACACCACCGACGUUUUCCUAACGCCGGUGUUGUGGUUGACAUUGAUGUGGUCAUCUGUUGAGCCUUCAUGGUCAUUUCUGUCGGGGGUAGCACUCAUUUUCUUUGUUUCUCACCAACAGUGCUGUCGGCUUCACCUGUUAAAGUGCUAUGGUUGGAUGGAGCUGCUGUCUGCUGUGAUGCAGUUGUUUGAUACUUGGUUCUAAUUCAGAACAUGAUUGGUUCAGACCCGGAGAAACUCCCCUUUUCAUUGUUUAUUUGUAUAGUCUACCAAAACAUGUCAGAAUGCUCACUAUCAAAAGCAUGUUGACUAUAUUUUAUAUUGAUAUUGAGGGAAAUCAGUUAGUGAUAUGUAUUGCUGUCGUUUUAUCGUCCAGCCCUACUCUGAUGGUAAGAGUGCGACCUUAGCUCAGUCUAUUCCACAGAAAGUUGGAACCCUCAGAACUAUGUGAAUAUAAAACUGAACUUUCCUUAUCAGUCAAACCAGAUUAAUGUUGAAACAGCCUGAAAACAUCCGUUUAUGAACUCAGUUUAUCAACGUUUCCACAAGUGCAGAUCCAGACUGAGUCACGCAGUCAUUUAUUCAUGAGAGUUUGAGCUCAUGUGGUGACUUCUACUACAGAGUUAAUGUCCGCUUUGAGUGCAGUGCUGCCUGAAGGCCCAAAAAACAACUUUAUCUCUAUCUCAUGUAUGUAAAUAUCUGAAUCGGACUUGGGGGAGAGUAAACAUGAGUAAAGUUUGGUAGUAAAAGUGACCAGCGCUCCUAACAAAGGCAGUAGUUUCCUGUGUGAUAGAAAGCCUUCAGGUGGAAUGAGAUGGUGACGGGGGUUCGAGCUGCAGCCUUGGGAUUCCUGCACAGCUGAGCCUCCUCACUUCUAUUUUAAACCAUGUUUUCAGGGUGAACGUGUAUCUGCUGACAAAUGUGCAUUGUUGGUGAUUGUGACUUUUAAGAUGACCUAUUUAGAGAACGCUGUUUCAUCAGUAUUCCAGAUGGUGCAAACCAACAACAUCAAAAGCAGCCUCGUGUUGCAUGUCGGCUCUCAGUAGUUUUCUCUUUAUACGGUGUGAUUAUUAAAAAAUGAGAGGUACGUGGUAGACUGGUUCAUGUGAUGGAUUUAACAUCUGUAAACGAAGAAAAAAACAUGCAUGUCCUCGGGUUAAUGAUGGGGGGGUACGCUGUAACC
Non-coding RNA from Xyrichtys novacula (pearly razorfish), 2904 nucleotides. The record is from the annotation of a GenBank genome assembly. Lineage: Eukaryota; Metazoa; Chordata; Actinopteri; Labriformes; Labridae.